This is a long non-coding RNA of Brachypodium distachyon (stiff brome), 1374 nucleotides long. RefSeq lists it as uncharacterized. The record is from RefSeq and is a predicted model, not a curated record. The transcript is spliced from 4 exons. Lineage: Eukaryota; Viridiplantae; Streptophyta; Magnoliopsida; Poales; Poaceae.
UCGGGAAGGUUACCUUCUACUAGUCUCCGUUUAAGAAAAAAAAAACAAGAAGAAGGAGAAGAAAGAAGAACAGAGUCGCCUCGCCGGCGCGUCCACCGCCGGGAUCCGCAGCGCCAGCCAUACUCGCCAUCACCACCGCGCCCUGAUCUGGUCGCUGCCGCCCACCGGUACCGGUAGGGUGGGAGGCGCAUGACGCAUAACAUGAGCUCGCCGCCUGCUAUCCGCCGGAAUCGGUCUUUCUCCUCCUUUGGCUUUCAAGCAUGCUUCUGCAAUUGAGGCAACACCAUCAAUUUCCUCCUGGCCUGCUUCUUCCAUGACUUGCGGAUCCAUGAUUUCACCAUCUUGUAUGUAUGGGUUUCCUUCAAAGCCUCGAGAGCACUUGCACCGAUAGCCAAACUGCGGAUCAAUACCACCGCUUGAGUUUCGCAGUCCUCUUUCCUGGUUAAGUUGGCAAUAGCCCACCACAUGGUCCACAUCUUCACUUGGUAUUCUUCAGAAAGAGAGAAAAGAUCAUCGAGAGGUUCAUUUGGGAAAAUUGUUGAUACCUCCAUAUUGGUGUGAGUUGUCUCCUUUUGUUCCGCGGUUCUGACAUUCACAUACCCUUCAUUUACUGAAAUGCUGUCCACGACAUAUUGUAUCCCUCGAUCAAGAACAGCAAGGUUUUCUGAUGUACAGUUCACUCGAAACUCUUGAAGAGCAUAACAACCUUCUUCAAUCCCAAAAGGAAAGGGAAUGCUGGUGUUCCCACAUGUUUUCUCACAACUUCCUCUUGGUUUUGGGUUGUAAUCUUUCACCGGGUAGAUUGACAUUAGAUAGAAGGAAGGUUAGGUGCAUGGGAGUUAAAAAAUAGAAUUUGAGUGGAUAAAAUUAGUGUGUGUACUGCUUGUUGUAAACCAAUCCUAUGGGGUGGACCAUGGGCAUUUGCUAAUUAAAUGACCCAAUAAUUAAAAAAGAAGACUUAUUAGCAUGCUACAGCCUACAUGAAGUAAAGUAAAAAAAACGGACUCUUGGUAUAUCAAUGUUGGGGAAAAUAAUUCAAAUACAUAAAGUAAAAAAAAACAAUGGGCUGUCCCCAUCGAUUUCUAUUAGAGAAACUGCCAAAACACGGUGUCUGCAAACAGAGUCUUAAACGGUAAUAUCAGUAAAGAUCACAGGUAAUCAGCUUGGAAAAAACAUCAGCCAGCAGAACAACAGAAAUAAAGCUUGUAAGCGCAGGCAACUAUGUAUUUUUCAUUAUUCUUUUACAUAUCAUGUACUUGGAAGUGCAAAAGGCACUUUGUGUUCUCUCUUCCACAGGAGACAAAUUUAUACUGAAAAUUUGAAUCAAAAAGAUGUGUGAGGCUCUGCGGGUAGAUUUCAUAUUGCCUUUGCACA